UCGCAAGACCGAAGAGGGGGACCUUCGGGCCUCUUGCCAUCGGAUGUGCCCAGAUGGGAUUAGCUAGUAGGUGGGGUAACGGCUCACCUAGGCGACGAUCCCUAGCUGGUCUGAGAGGAUGACCAGCCACACUGGAACUGAGACACGGUCCAGACUCCUACGGGAGGCAGCAGUGGGGAAUAUUGCACAAUGGGCGCAAGCCUGAUGCAGCCAUGCCGCGUGUAUGAAGAAGGCCUUCGGGUUGUAAAGUACUUUCAGCGGGGAGGAAGGCGAUAAGGUUAAUAACCUUGUCGAUUGACGUUACCCGCAGAAGAAGCACCGGCUAACUCCGUGCCAGCAGCCGCGGUAAUACGGAGGGUGCAAGCGUUAAUCGGAAUUACUGGGCGUAAAGCGCACGCAGGCGGUCUGUCAAGUCGGAUGUGAAAUCCCCGGGCUCAACCUGGGAACUGCAUUCGAAACUGGCAGGCUAGAGUCUUGUAGAGGGGGGUAGAAUUCCAAGUGUAGCGGUGAAAUGCGUAGAGAUCUGGAGGAAUACCGGUGGCUAAAGCGGCCCCCUGGACAAAGACUGACGCUCAAGUGCGAAAGCCUGGCGAGCAACAGGAUUAGAUACCCUGGUAGUCCAAGCCGUAAACCAUGUCGACUUGGAAGUUGUGCCCCUGAAGCGUGGCUUCCGGAGCUAACGCGUUAACUCGACAGCCUGG
Molecule: ribosomal RNA, 701 nt
Filed under: uncultured Enterobacter sp.
Lineage: Bacteria; Pseudomonadati; Pseudomonadota; Gammaproteobacteria; Enterobacterales; Enterobacteriaceae
Description: bacterial SSU rRNA
Rfam family: Bacterial small subunit ribosomal RNA
Source: RNAcentral